Molecule: ribosomal RNA, 496 nt
Filed under: uncultured bacterium
Lineage: Bacteria
Description: partial 16S ribosomal RNA
Rfam family: Bacterial small subunit ribosomal RNA
Source: RNAcentral
GACGAACGCUGGCGGCGUGCCUAAUACAUGCCAGUUGAGCGCUGAAGGAUGGUGCUUGUACCCACUGGGUGAGCAGCGAACGGGUGAGUAACGCGUGGGGAAUCUGCCUUUGAGCGGGGGACAACAUUGGGAGACGAAUGCUAAUACCGCAUAAAAACUUUAAACACAAGAUUUAAGUUUGAAAGAUGCAAUUGCAUCACUCAAAGAUGAUCCGGCGUUGUAUUAGCUAGUUGGUGAGGUAAAGGCCCACCAAGGCGAUGAUACGUGGCCGGCCUGGGAGGAUGACGGGCAACUUUGGACCUGGAACACGGCCAAAACCCCUAGGGGGGGAGCAAGUGGGGAAUUUUGGAAAAGGAGCAAAAGCCUGACGCGGCAAGCCCGGGUGGGUGAGGAGGGCCUUGGAGUGGUAAAGCCCGUUUGUAGAGAAGGAAGAGCGGGAGAGUGGAACGCCCAUGAACUGACGGUAACCAAACAGAAAGCGACGGCUAACUACGUG